CCUACGGGAGGCAGCAGUGAGGAAUAUUGGUCAAUGGGCGCGAGCCUGAAUCAGCCAAGUCGCGUGAGGGAAGACGGCCCUACGGGUUGUAAACCUCUUUUGCCGGGGAGCAACGGGCGCCACGUGUGGCGCCACUGAGAGUACCCGGAGAAAAAGCAUCGGCUAACUCCGUGCCAGCAGCCGCGGUAAUACGGAGGAUGCGAGCGUUAUCCGGAUUUAUUGGGUUUAAAGGGUGGGUAGGGGGGGCGUUUAGUUACGGGUGCAAUUUAGGGGGCCAAACCCUUCCCGGCCUUUGAAAUGGGCGCACGUGAGUGGAAGAGAAGUAUGCGGAAUGCGUGGUGUAGCGGUGAAAUGCAUAGAUAUCACGCAGAACCCCGAUUGCGAAGGCAGCAUGCCGGCUUCCGACUGACGCUGAAGCACGAAAGCGUGGGGAUCGAACAGGAUUAGAUACCCUGGUAGUC
This 461-nucleotide ribosomal RNA is filed under the name uncultured bacterium. RNAcentral's name for it is "partial 16S ribosomal RNA". It matches the Rfam family "Bacterial small subunit ribosomal RNA", at positions 338 to 795 of the family's 1533-position model. The record is from RNAcentral.